Molecule: long non-coding RNA, 5875 nt
Organism: Oncorhynchus keta (chum salmon)
Lineage: Eukaryota; Metazoa; Chordata; Actinopteri; Salmoniformes; Salmonidae
Exons: 3
Source: RefSeq, a predicted model, not a curated record
AAAUACAGCUGUGUAUGUAAACAAAUGAUGAUCGGUAGCAGGAUUUUGUAACAGUAAAAAAAUGUAUCUACAUGCCAUGAAAAAAAAGUUUCCUAAUCAACUUGAAAAAUAAAUGGAGCCUAACGAGAUUGAGCAGGUUCAGGAGACAAUACAGACACACACAGACAGUGGCCGGAUCUUCUGAAGACCAUGAGGAAGGAAGUCCCUGGCCACAUCUAAAAGAAUACUUCAGCUUCAAGCAGAGAAGAGGAGACAGUGUAAUUAUGAAAUGUAAACUCUGCUUACCAAAGAUGGUGGAGGUGGCUGCCUACAAAAACUCUGUCAGACUUGAGAAAACAUGUAAGUUAAUGGUACGAAAAGUAAAGUUAGAAAUAUAUUUUGUCGCCAGGAAUGGUGUUUGUUGUGUAGGCUAUGUAAUGUAGCUAACACAUUGUUGCUACUAGCCAGGUGCAUUCAAUCUGUUGCAUAAUGCUAACGUUAGCUAGCUAAUUCUGUUGCUAGCUAGUUAGAAGCUAACCCUGAUCAACAUCUUUACACAGCUGAAGGAACUACAAGCUGUAGUGCAGGAUACUACCGCAUUGACAUUAUGGUGGCUAGUAGCUGGCCAUCCCCAUAAUGUUUUUAUUUUAUUUAUCCUUUAUUUAACCUGGUAGGCCAGUUGAGAACAAGUUCUCAUUUACAACUGUGACCUGGCCAAGAUAAAGCAAAGCAGUGUGACACAAACAACAACAUAGAGUUACACAUGGAAUAAACUAACUUACAGUUGUACAGUCUACACAAUAUUUAAAAAAAAUCUAUAUACAGUGUGUGCAAAUGAGGUAAGAUUAGGGAGGUAAGGCAAUAAAUAGGCCGUAGUGGCGAAGUAAUUACAAUUUAGCAAUUAACCACUGGAGUGAUAAAUGUGCAGAAGAUGAAUGUUCAAGUAGAGAUACUGAGGUGCAAAAAAACAACAAAAAAACAAUAUGGGGAUGAGGUAGUUGGAUGGGCUAUUUACAGAUGGGCUAUUGUCACGUUAACAACCUUUAUUUCCUUUGUUUUGUCUUUAUUUAGUAUGGUCAGGGUGUGAGUUGGGGUGGGCCUUCUAUGUUUGUUUUUCUAUGUUUGGUUUCUGUUUCGGCCUAGUAUGGUUCUCGAUCAGAGGCAGGUGUCGUUAGUUGUCUCUGAUUGAGAAUCAUACUUAGGUAGCCUGGGUUUCACUUUUGAGUUGUGGGUGUUUGUUUCCGUGUGAGUGUUUGUCGCCACACGGUACUGUUUCGGGUUUCGGUUUCCUCACAUCGUUUAUUGUUUUGUAUUUCAGUGUUCAGUUCAUUUUUAAUAAAUCAUCAUGAACACUGCAUCUUGGUCCGAUCCUUACUCUUCUUCAGAAGAAGAGGAGAUCUGCCGUUACAGCUAUGUACAGGUGCAAUGAUCUGUGAGCUGCUCUGACAGCUGAUGCUUAAAGUUAGUGAGGGAGAUAUGAGUUUCCAGCUUCAGUGAUUUUUGACAUUUGUUCCAGUCAUUGGCAGCAGAGAACUGGAAGGAAAGGAGGCCAAAGGAGGAAUUGGCUUUGGUGGUGACCAGUGAGAUAUACCUGCUGGGGGCGUGCUAUGGGUGGGUGAUGCUAUGGUGACCAGUGAGCUGUGAUAAGGUGGGGCUUCACGUAGCAAAGACUUACAGAUGACCUGGAGCCAGUGGGUUUGGCGAUGAAUAUGAAGCGAGGGCCAGCCAACAAGAGCAUACAGGUCGCAGUGGUGGGUAGUAUAUGGGGCUUUGGUGACAAAACGGAUGGCAAUGUGAUAGACUGCAUCCAAUUUGCUGAGUAGACUGUGGGAAACUAUUUUAUAAAUUACAUCACCGAAGUCAAGGAUCGGUAGGAUGGUCAGUUUUACGAGGGUAUGUUUGGCAGCAUGAGUGAAGGAUGCUUUGUUGUGAAAUAGGAAGCUAAUUCUAGAUUUAAUUGUGUAAUUGUGGAUUCUUAAUGUGAGUCUGGAAGGAUAGUGUACAGUCUGUCACAGUUUGAAUCUAGAAUGUCUCCCCCUUUGAAGAGGGGGAUGACCGCGACAGCUUUCCAAUCUUUGGGGAUCUCAGACGAUAAGAGAGGUUGAACAGGCUAGUAAUAAGGUUUGCAACAAUUGCAGCGGAAUUUUUUUAGAAAGAUAGGGUCCAGAUUGUCUAGCCCGGCUGAUUUGUAGGGGUCCAGAUUUUCUCUUUCAGAACAUCAACUAUCUGUAUUUGGGUAAAGGAGAAAUGGGGGAGGUUUGGGCAAGUUGCUGUGGGGGGUGCAGGGCUGUUGACCGGGGUAUGGGUAGCCAGGUGGACAGCCAGUAUUUAUGCUGCAGUAGUUUGUGUCGGGGGGCUAGGGUUAGUUUGUUAUAUCUGGAGUACUUGUCCUGUCUUAUCCAGUGUCCUGUGUGAAUUUAAGUAUGCACUCUCUAAUUCUCUUUCUCUCUUUCCUUCUCUCUCUCGGAGGAGGACCUGAGCCCUAGGACCAUGCCUCUCAGGACUACCUGGCAUGAUGACUCCUUGCUGUCCUCAGUCCACCUGGCCGUGCUGCUGCUCCAGUUUCAACUGUUCUGCCUGCGGCUAUGCACCCUCGACAACUACUGUGAUUAUUAUUAUUUGACCAUGCUGGUCAUUUAUGAACAUUUUGAACAUCUUGGCCAUGUUCUGUUAUAAUCUCCACCCGGCACAGCCAGAAGAGGACUGGCCACCCCUCAUAGACUGAUUCCUCUCUAGGGUUCUUCCUAGGUUUUGGCCUUUCUAGGGAGUUUUUCCUAGCCACCGUGCUUCUACACCUUCAUUGCUGGCUGUUUGGGGUUUUAGGCUGGGUUUCUGUACAGCACUUUGAGAUAUCAGCUGAUGUACGAAGGGCUAGAAAAUACAUUUGAUUUGCAUGUCACCUGCUGAACCUCAUUGCAACAGAUUCUUCGUUGGCAGAAACAAAUAGUGAUGGCUACAAAAGGUUGUGCAGGUGGUCUUUUGCCAAAUGCCAUGUGGAAUAAAACGGGGCGGUCAACCUUAGCUGCUGAAUUUGUAGAGAAUGAGUGCAAACUGCAGUUGAUCCAUCCAAAUCAAACACGUUGGAACUCAACUUACCUGGCUGUGGAGAGGAUCACACGUAUCAUACAAGAGAAGGGGGAGGAUGCCAUAAGAAAUGUGAAGAAUUAGAAGUGAAAAUGCUGAGCCCGGAAGAAAUGUCCUUCUUGAAUGAGUACUGCAAAGUGAGGAAGCCUUUGGUCUCCGCUUUGAACAUUCUACAGUCGGAGACCAACACUCAUAUGUGGUGGCUGCUGCUAGUGAUCCUCUUACUAAAAACAAAACUUCAAAGGCUGGAAGCAUCUUUCCAAAUGUGCCUACAACUUAUCAGAGUAAUUCAGAACGGUCUCCAAAAGUGCUUUGGAGAAAUGAUGGAGGAGCCACAGCUUAUUGCUGCUGUACGUCUUGGACUGACAAAGCUGAUGUCAUCACAGCCGGUAUGGCGUCCCUGAAGAAUUAUCGUGAAACAAUCACACAGGACGAGACUGAGCAUCUAAGGCAGCAUUCAUCUGAUGAAGAGGAUUAGAAGGCACAGGGGAAAUGGUCAGAAGAUACAUGGGAGCUGGAUGGAUAUCUUGCUAGUCCAUCAGACAAAAUGGGUUUACUUCAUUUUUUCCCGUCCCUUUAUAUAACUAGGCAAGUCAGUUAAGAACAAAUUAUUAUUUUCAAUGACGGCUUUGGAACAGUGGGUUAACUGCCUUAUUCAGGGGCAGAACGACAGGGUUUUUCCUUAUCAGCUCGGGGAUUUGAUCAUGCAACCUUUUGGUUACAAGUCCAAUGCUCUAACUACUAGGCUGCCUGCCGCCACAUAUAGAAGUUGUCACUCAAACUCAACACAGGCCUGCCUGCUUCUGCCGCCUGUGAGCAUAUUUUUAGCUGUGCUGGACUACUCUUCACUGCAAGCGAGCCAGGAUAGACUAAAUUAACUGUCACGCUGGUAUAAAGGAUUUUGGAGACCGGUGCAGGAAUACACAAUAGGGGUUUUUAAUACACCCAAAACAAACACGUACACAACACUGGGCUGUACCGAAACAAAAGAGCGAGGGUAAACCUCGUUGACCGACACGGGACGAUACCCGUAACACACAAUAUAUAUAUAUAUAUAUAUAUAUAGCACACAGCAUAACAGCUGCACCAACGCAUAGGUACUCACACCACCAACUGACAUGGGAACAAUAAUCAACAAGACCAUGGAAAUCAAAGGGCACAUCUAUACAAAUACUAAUCAGUGGGAAUAGGGGACAGGUGUGCAUGAUGAACGUUCAGGAGGGAUCCGUGAUAUUAACUUAGAAAAUCAUCUCAUACUGAAACUGAAUGGCAAAUUCAGAGAAGUGAAGUGAGUUACGUGUUCGAUAGGUGGUUCCACAAAAAAAAUUUGCCUUUUGAACAUUCUGUUGAACAUUUGUGUAUGGGAAGUUGAAGAUUUUAUAUUAAAUCAGCUGUGCUGGAUCUUAUCUUGUUGGUUAUGGAACAUUUGCCACACCCUUUUCACAUUCUUGUAAAAGGAGAAUACAAAUAACCAUCAAAAUUGAAAUAGCAAAUUAUUUUAGAAGUAACUUAGUAAUCUUUACUCUGAGUACUUUUUAAAUGUAGUACUUUUUACUUUUACUUGAGUAGUUUUUUACACCAGUACUUUUACUUCUACUUGAUUCCAAUUUCAUUAAAGGAACAGUACUUCUAUUUGAAUGGAUUUUACAGUACUCUUUCCACCACUGCUAAAGUAUCAAAAGUACAUUUAUGAUUCAUUUCAAAUUCCUUAUAUUAAGCAAACGAGACAGCACGAUUGUCUUUUUUUCCCUCCCAUUUACGGAUAGCCAGCAGCACACUCCCAACACUUUAGAUAAUAAUUUACAACAAAGCGUUUGUGUUUAGCGAGUCCGCCAAAUCAGAGGCAGUAAGGAUGACCAGGGAUGUUCUCUUGAUAAGUGUGGUAAUUGGACCAUUUUCCUGUCCUGCUAACCAUUCAAAAUGUAAAGAGUACUUUUGGGUGUAAGCAAAAAUGUAUGGAGUAAAAAGUACAUAAUUUUCUUUAGGAAUGUAGUAAAAGUAAAUGUUGCCAAAAAUAUAAAUCGUAAAGUACAGACUUAAGUAGUAAUUCAAAGAUUUUUUACUAAAGUCCUUUACAGGACUGCAAACAACAGAUGGGAGUGUUUGUUGUGGUGACUGCGCCUUGCUUGUUUUAAUAACAGACACGUGCAGCCCGCUGCUCCCAGGUUUGUCCCUGUCUUUAACCGUCCAACCAGUAGCAACACACUGCUUUGUCUGUCUGAUGCAGAGGCCCCCCUAAGCAAAUAAUCUUCUGAUGACUAUGCAGGAAAUACAAAAAGUUGAUGGAUAGGGAUGAAACAUAGGGGUAAAUGUUAUUCAUAAUGCUUCUGCAAUGGGAUAAUUUAAGUUAACGUAUUAUUUCAAAUGUUGAAAAGCAGGUUUGGCUGAGUAGUUGAGGGAAUUAAAGUCCCUUUAGUAAACUGACUAUGCAUUGGUGGACAGCGCCACUGUUCUGAAAUGGUUUGAACCCUGUAGAGACUAGGCAGCAUUUGAGGACAGCACCACAGUGCUGAAAUUGGACAAAGCACCGGACACUAAGAAAAUGUUAGGAACCGUUGAAUAAAGAAUUUCAAAUAUUAUAUCACACACUCUUUGAUAUUGAUAUUGCUAUUGCCCACCUCUUUGUAGUUUUUUGGUACCUCUCACGUACAUCGUUGAGGGAUAUGCAGGUGUCCACAAUAUUGUUUGUAAGCAAACCAAUCCGGGAGCUGUACCAGUUCCAGUUUGGACUCUUCUGCCACAAUCAUGAGAUAUAGACCCUCAUCGCAAUCCAGCUGGAAAGUAGACAGAGUGGAACUAAUGGAGGAUGUUA